AGCAGCCGCGGUAAUUCCAGCUCCAAUAGCGUAUAUUAAAGUUGCUGCAGUUAAAAAACUCGUAGUUGAAUUUCGGGACCAUCAUGUCGGUCGUGCCUCGGUACGUACUGGCAUUGUUGGUUUCUCCCUUCUGACGAACCAUGAUGUCAUUAAUUUGGUGUCAUGGGGAAUCAGGACUGUUACUUUGAAAAAAUUAGAGUGUUUAAAGCAGGCUCACGCUUGAAUACAUUAGCAUGGAAUAAUGAAAUAGGACGUUUGAUUCUAUUUUGUUGGUUUCUAGGAUCGACGUAAUGAUUAAUAGGGAUAGUUGGGGGCAUUAGUAUUCAAUUGUCAGAGGUGAAAUUCUUGGAUUUAUUGAAGACUAACUACUGCGAAAGCAUUUGCCAAGGAUGUUUUCAUUAAUCAAGAACGAAAGUUAGAGGAUCGAAGACGAUCAGAUACCGUCGUAGUCUUAACCAUAAACUAUGCCGACUAGGGAUCGGAUGAUGUUAAUUUUUAAUGACUCAUUC
This 509-nucleotide ribosomal RNA is filed under the name uncultured Glomus. RNAcentral describes it as "SSU rRNA". It matches the Rfam family "Eukaryotic small subunit ribosomal RNA", at positions 569 to 1081 of the family's 1831-position model. The record is from RNAcentral. Lineage: Eukaryota; Fungi; Glomeromycota; Glomeromycetes; Glomerales; Glomeraceae.